CUCUGACCUCCUCCCUAUAGACUGCCUCCUUGUUGUUGGUGAUCAGGCCCACCCCUGUCGUGUCAUCGGCAAACUUGAUGAUGGUGUUGGAGUCGUGCAUGGCCACGCAGUCAUGGGUGAACAGGAAGUACAGGAGGGUACUAAGCACGCACUCCUGAAGGGCCCCCGUGUUGAGGGUCAGCAUGGUGAAUGUGUUGUUGUAGCCGUUGCAUCUAUAUAUGGUAGUAAAAUGUGUCUCCUAUCAGUCCUCUGUGUCCACAUUGCAAAUUAUUUGACAGAUAUUCUUUCAAAAAAACAUUUGAUUUAUUUGAAGACACAUAUUGCUUUCAACUGUCAAUGAUUUUAGAGGAAGGGAUAAUAAUGGUUUAAAUGGUUUCACUGUCCAGAUCCGUCUACAUGUGUAAGAUAUCCAGACACAAUGCGUGUCUGACUAUCUCCGGAGGUGAUUAGGAAAAUCUGAUCAUAAUCAAAUCACAAUGCAUCUUUUAAUCAUCAACACCUGUCUAAAUACGUGGUCACAAUUAGAAUGUGGACAAGAUCAGGACAAAGGAUGGAUUUUAGAACCAGGUAUAAAUGUGGCUAGAGAGAGAGAGAAGAAGAGGUAGAGAGAGAGAGAAGAAGAGGUAGAAAAUAAGAGUUAGAGAGAGAGAGAAGGGGUAGAGAGAGAGAGAAGAAGAAGAGGUAGAGAGAGAGAAAAGAAGAGGUAGAAAAGAAGAGGUAGAGGUAGAAAAAGAGGUAGAGAGAUGUAGAGAGAGGUAGAAAAGAAGAGGUAGAGAGAGAGGUAGAAAAGAAGAGGUAGAGAGAGAGGUAGAAAAGAAGAGAGAGAGAGGUAGAGAGAGAGGUUGAAAAGAAGAGGUAGAAAAUAAGAAGUAGAGAGAGAGAGGUAGAAAAGAAGAGGUAGAAAAUAAGAAGUAGAGAGAGAGGUAAAAAAAGAAGAGGUAGAAAAGAAGGGGUAGAGAUUGAGAGGUAGAAAAGAAGAGGUAGAGAUUGAGAGGGAGAAAAGAUAAGGUAGAGAUUGAGAGGGAGAAAGAGAGGUAAAGAGAGGUAAAGAGAAAAUAAGAGGUAGAGAGAAAUUAAUAGAUUGAAAGUUUCCUUUCACAGUGAUUUGCGAAGCGAAGGGUCCAAGUCCUGGUAACAACCUGAAAGAGGAUGAUAACUACUCACAGAUCCCUGAUAUGCCGGUGCACACGCUCCCGUCCCAGCAGCCACAGUGAAAUGACAUGCUAAAACAGGGGGACAAGGGUGUGAUGCAUAAGGAGGAUACCAGGAGGAUGAGCUGCUUAGAUGUCUGUUGGCCUCCGAUCAGGCUGCCACUCAGAGUGACAGAGGUUGGAAUUCAGUCCAACCUGCCGUAAGUGAUGGGCAUGCAGUGUCUUUGUUUGUAACCUGCUGCCCGCAAACACACACAGUUAUUUUUCUGAAAAC
RNAcentral lists this long non-coding RNA (1425 nucleotides) under Salmo salar (Atlantic salmon). RNAcentral describes it as "lncRNA (ENSSSAG00000113981.1)". Lineage: Eukaryota; Metazoa; Chordata; Actinopteri; Salmoniformes; Salmonidae. The record is from RNAcentral.